Molecule: long non-coding RNA, 1549 nt
Filed under: Phoenix dactylifera (date palm)
Lineage: Eukaryota; Viridiplantae; Streptophyta; Magnoliopsida; Arecales; Arecaceae
Description: long non-coding RNA (PDAC_LNC002301)
Source: RNAcentral
UAAAUUAGUAAUGAAAGAAUAGUCUUGUUGGGUGGUUUUAGUCUCCUUGUUACCGAAGAGGAAGUUAGCAGAGGUUUAUAAUCUGGUUUAGUGAGAAGGGCCUAAGACCAUAAAAAGGGAGAGGAGGUUUGGAAUACAUUAUGAUAGAUGAAGAGGUUUCGGCAUGAUUUCAAUCUAUACGUGAGGGAUGACGGAUAACUGUGAUCAUCCAUGAGAGAAUAGGGAUGAUUGUGAUGUCAGCUGAGAAAGAAUUCACAGAUUCUUGCGAUCAUCUUCUUUUCGUACGUUGCAAAUUCAGAAGCGUUCUAAUUAUAUAAUAUGCAUGCAUUAGAUAUGAAUCUAAUCAUGCCAAGUUUUGGCAUGUGAUGAAUUUGCUAAUUAAAUAUUAAAUGAAUGCGUAGUGAUAAUGGAUUUGAAGUCUUAAAUAUAUAAAUUAGCAGAUGGCCCAUGUCAUUUGUCAGGAUUCUUUGUUUAUGUUUCCUUAGCUGUGAUCAUUGAUAUUUUACUCAAAGUUGAUUAGAAUAACUUGUGAUAGAGGUUGCGGUUAAGAUCACGUCAAAGCUCUUGUGUGGUGCACAAGAAGGUUUAAUCUUCUUGCAUCUUAAGCAGUAAUUACAUUAAGAACUCUGAAGUGAAAUACAUAAAGACGAGAUUAUUGCAUCUAAUCUGGAUCCACUACUGAGGUCAACAAGUAAACCAUCAAGAAACAAGCAUUGUUUUGAUCCUUGUUGCAUUCAUAUGAAUGGGUAUACCUUACUCCUGGAAGAAGUGAAAUGGGAGCGCCACCACCAUAGCAGUGCUAUGCUUCUACUGCACCAAUUUCACAGAAACCAAUUACUGUGGUCAUUUUGGCUAAUCCCCUUAAGCUCGUAUUUUUUAACCUCUGCAUUCACCUUUAAGGGAAGGGCUAAUUUGUGCCUCUGCAUCCAUUCUCUUGUAACUGAAAGUGGAGAUAAUGGAACUUUAGAAAUCAGACUUGAACAAACACAUGUUUGCAUUGACAAAGCAUCAACAGCAUUGAUUAAAGCAUUUUUUGAAGACUACUGAACUGAAAGCAACCUUCUAUUUGCCAGUAGGAAGUAGCACUUUUCCUUUCUUUUUUUCCGAUGAAAAACUACUUGGAGGCAUCAUUCUUUCAUUCAAGAAACCGAAUCAAUACAUCAAAAGGUGAAAAGAUAUAAAGCAGAUCUUGCCAAAGUUGUGGAACUAGGGUUCGUCGAAUCUCAUUAGUGGUCUAUUGGUGAUGAAGCUUGACACGCUUUCAGUCUGAACAAACACUUAAAAGUCAUCCUUUGUUUAAUUACUUUAUACCCCUUGUACCAAUCAACUUAUUGUUUUGCUACCUUUUCUUUUUCUUCUUCUUCUCUUUUUUUUUGAUGUGAAACUAUCUGCUACCCUUUCUUUUUCAAUCAAGUCAUUGAUUUAUUCCUGAAGAAAGGAAAUAAAAAGUUCUGGCAGAAAUCAUUAGUUCUCGAUUAUUUGGUCUUUUGAUCAAGUCUAGGAGAGGAAAAAAUAGUCCGGUCUCUCUCUCUCUCUCUCUCUCUCUCUC